Long non-coding RNA from Brassica rapa (field mustard), 1288 nucleotides. RefSeq lists it as uncharacterized. NCBI's taxonomy places the organism in Eukaryota, Viridiplantae, Streptophyta, Magnoliopsida, Brassicales, Brassicaceae. The record is from RefSeq and is a predicted model, not a curated record.
ACAUUAAUACAAAUGUAGAAUGUGGUUAGAAAUUUUAAAACAACACUAAAGAUUAUAGGCUUCAGUAUAUAAAACAUUUGCCAAAAACUCAAUAUUUUCGUAGGGGUUAACACAUAGAUUUUGAAAAAAAUUCAAAAAAUAUGACAAUAACGUUUUAAUGCAUAGUUGCAUCCAGAACUAAUAUAUGAUGAUGUUCAAAGAGGUUUGGAGCCUUUUUUGUCUUCGUUUUUCAAGAAGAUAGUGAUUAUAUAGUGGUUAUUUCCAUCGAUUUAAAGAGUAUUAUGAAGUUUUACAAAAUUAAUUGAUUAAAAAUUAUAAUGAUUCUCAUAUACCAUAAAAAGAGUUUAAAAUACAUUAAUACAAAUGUAGAAUGUUGUUAGAAAUUUUAAAACAACACUAAAGAUUAUAGGCUUCAGUACAUAAAACAUUUGCCAAAAAGUCAAUAUUUUCGGAGGGGUUAACACAUAGAUUUUGAAAAAAAUUCAAAAAAUAUGAAAAUUUUGUUUUAAUGCAUAGUUGCAUCCAUAACUAACAUAUGAUGAUGUUCAAAGAGGUUUGGAGCCAUUGUUGUCUCCGUUUUUCAAGAAAAUAAUGAUUAUAUAGUGGUUAUUCCAUCGAUUUAAAGAGUAUUAUGAAUUUUUAUUAAAUUAAUUUAUAAAAACAAUUAAACGAUGCUCAUUUACCAUGAAAUAGAGUUUAGCAUACAUUAAUACAAAUGUAGAAUAUGGUUAAAAAAUUUAAUACAACACUAAAGAUUAUAGGCUAAGUACAUAAAAUAUUUACCAAAAACUCAAUAUUUUCGUAGGUGUUAACACAUAGAUUUUGAGAAAAUUUCAAAAAAUAUGACAAUAUUGUUUAAAUGCAUAGUUGCACCCUAGACAAAAAUAUGAUGAUGUUCAAAGAGGUUUGGAGCCUUUGUUGUCUCUGUUUUUCAAGAAAAUAGUGAUUAUGUAGUGGUUAUUCCAUCGAUUUAAAGAGUAUUAUGAAGUUUUACAAAAUUAAUUGAUAAAAAAAUUAUAACGAUUCCCAUUUACCAUAAAAAACAACUUAAAAUACAUUAAUACAUAUGUAGAAUGUGGUUAGAAAUUUUAAAACAACACUAAAAAUUAUAGGCUUCAGUACAUAAAUCAUUUACCAAAAACGCUAUAUUUUCGUAGGGGUUAACACAUAGAUUUUGAACAAAAAUUCAAAAAUUAUGACAAUAUUGUUUUAAUGAAUAGUUGCAUCCAGAACUAACAUAGGAUGAUGUUCAAUGAGGUUUGGAGCCUUUGUUGUCUCUGUUUUUCAA